UCCAGUACAGCACCCUUUGAAAAGAGUGUUUUUUCUAAAUAUACUCGAGUGAGGAAAUUCACACUUUCCUGAGGAGUCCUGUGAUCUCAGAGGACAUUCACACACACAGACAAAACACCCAUGACACAUGGGCUCGGGGAGUUGAUGCAGGCUUGGGGAGAUGCUGUGGCCUUCGGGAGAUGUGGGCUUGGAUAGAUGAUGCGGGCUUGGGAUAUGAUGUUGGCUUGGGGACAUGUAGGCUCAGGUACAUGACCGGGCUAGGGGAGAUGAUGUGGACUCGGGGAGUUGUGGGCUCAGAGAGAUGUCUCUGGCCAGGGGAGGUGACACGGUCUCAGGGAGAUGACAUGGCCUCGUGGACAUUAUGUGGGCUUGGGGACAUGAUGUGAGCUUGGGGAGACGUGGGCUUUUGGAGAUGAUGUGGGCUUGGUGAGCUGUGGGCUCAGAAAGAUGACGCCUGCUCGGGAAGAUGAUGGUGACUUGUGGAGAUGACAUGGACUUGGGGAGAUGUGGCUUUGGAGAGAUGAUGCGGGCUUGGGGAGGUGAAUAAAUUUUUAAACUCUCUUCUUUUUAUAUUUUGCUCUUCAUACGGAAGAGCCACAGGACCUAAACUGUUAAAAAUCUUUAGCUAACGGAUCCCAAAACAACAACUUUUGCUUCUUUCUCAUCAAGGUAAAUCUCUGUACAUCUCUUGAGUGCUGACGACAUGACAGCUGUGUUUAGGUACUGGGGAUAAAAGGUGAAAAGGAAUGGUUAUUGUCCUUGAGGAAGUUUUAUUUUUUCUCUGGACUGAGAACCCUAAGUAGACGGUUCCAAUGCAAUGUAUUAAAGUACAAGGAGGUAUCAAGAAGGUACAGCUUCAAGGACUUGAAACCUUCACACUCGGCAAGUGGCUGUGCUGGAAAGAUUUGUUUUCCAGGUUUUAUCAGAAAUAAUUUCACACCAUUUCAGUGUUAAAAAUCUGUCAUCCCUGCCAACAUCAUCUGCACAAUGGAAAUGUGUGAACUACCACAAAAGGGGAUUUGAAAACAAAUUCAAGGGGAAAAAAAAUAACACCGUUUCUUUUAUCACCAUCCACACAGUCCUCUACCUCCUCAGUGUAAAAGGUCUGUACACAUUCUUUUGAAUGGCGAAUGAUGUGGACUGAGGUAAAGAAAAGCCUUCAAAUUUCUGUUGUAGACUCAAGAUCUAAUUUGUCCAGACUUGAAGUCUGCCUUAGCACAGAGCCUUUAAGGGGAAAAUGUAAAGUGAAAAAGCUUUGACUACCCUUAGAAGAAACAGGGUAGCAAAUAGGGAACUUGAGAGAACCAAAACAACAGUUCAUCUAGUCAACAGGUUACUUCCUGUUUUCUGGGGCUGUAAAGGUAAAAGAAGACAGGUCAAAACCUCCUAAAAGCAGACAGAAAUUCUCAGUUUCUCAAUGCUUAGAGAAACAAAAAGUUGCUUUAAGCACACUGUGAAGUUUUUCUUUCAGUAUUCGUCAAAUUUUGAAAAUAUACAGGGUGUGAGCCUGGAGAUUUGGCUCUGAAGCACAGAACUAGAGUCACAACAGUAUUUCAUUCCAAAGAAAAAGAGGACUCACCAGGCUGUAAACCAGAUGUCUGGGAGAGCCAUACCCUUGAAACAAAGAUGAGCCAGAGACAGACUGUGUAACUUAAAUCCAAACUCAGCUUCAACCCAUCCUCCGUAGUAACACAGCCUUCUUAGAAGGACACCAGUCACUGGACUGGGGACCUCCCUCUAUUUCAGUAUGACCUCAGUAAUUACUAACACCUGCAAAGAUCCUAUUUCCAAGUGCGGUCACAUACUGAGAUUCCAGGUAGACAUGAAUUUGGAGGAAAACUCUUCACCCCAUUCCAGUUGGUACGCCCCAAAGAAAGGGAUUCUGCUUCUUUGCUAGAAUAAAGAAAACUCUGAAAGUCAUCAUCAUACUACUGGCAAGACCAUUCAGGAAGACAGACACCACUCCAAAUAUUUGAAACAGAAUUGAUUUAAUAACAUUGGUUACAGUGGCACUUGGAAGGUUGCAGCAGUCAAACCGGGGAAGAGGAAGUAACGCAGACGUUAGCACAGAAACAGCCCCUCCCACUCCUGCAUGUGAGCAGAGGGAAGUGAUGUUAUCAGAGCCCAGGGAUGCCAGCCACCCAGCAGCAGCUAAAGCAACAGUGAGCCUGCCAGGCACAAAGCGGACCCCUGUGGGGACAGAGCAGCCAGCAGGGGUGGAUCACGGCACAGCUGGAAGCCAACAUCACCUGGGAAAAUCAGCCUGAGAAUGCUGACACCUCUGCCAAGCAAGAGAGAGGCUGGGAACAGAUCGGUGGGCAAACUGGCCAUGGCCAUCCCAGCAAACAUGGAGGGAGGUUAAAAAAAAUCCUCAGAUGUUGCUUAUUAGGAUUUAAGCUUAAAAUUAAAUGUCUUAAGGAGUUA
This is a long non-coding RNA of Camelus dromedarius (Arabian camel), 2424 nucleotides long. RefSeq lists it as uncharacterized. The transcript has 2 exons. The record is from RefSeq and is a predicted model, not a curated record. NCBI's taxonomy places the organism in Eukaryota, Metazoa, Chordata, Mammalia, Artiodactyla, Camelidae.